This 342-nucleotide ribosomal RNA is filed under the name uncultured soil bacterium. Its description in RNAcentral is "bacterial SSU rRNA". It matches the Rfam family "Bacterial small subunit ribosomal RNA", at positions 26 to 391 of the family's 1533-position model. The record is from RNAcentral.
AGAACGAACGCUGGCGGCAUGCCUAACACAUGCAAGUCGAACGAGACCUUCGGGUCUAGUGGCGCACGGGUGCGUAACGCGUGGGAAUCUACCCUUGGGUUCGGGAUAACAGUCGGAAACGACUGCUAAUACCGGAUGAUGACUUCGGUCCAAAGAUUUAUCGCCCAGGGAUGAGCCCGCGUAGGAUUAGCUAGUUGGUGAGGUGAAAGCUCACCAAGGCGACGAUCCUUAGCUGGUCUGAGAGGAUGAUCAGCCACACUGGGACUGAGACGACGGCCCAGACUCCGUACGGGAGGCAGCAGUGGGGAAUAGUUGGACAAGUGGGACGAAAGCCUGAUCCAG